RNAcentral lists this ribosomal RNA (484 nucleotides) under uncultured bacterium. RNAcentral describes it as "partial 16S ribosomal RNA". It matches the Rfam family "Bacterial small subunit ribosomal RNA", at positions 30 to 507 of the family's 1533-position model. The record is from RNAcentral.
AUUGAACGCUGGCGGCAGGCCUAACACAUGCAAGUCGAGCGGAUGAAGGGAGCUUGCUCCUGGAUUCAGCGGCGGACGGGUGAGUAAUGCCUAGGAAUCUGCCUGGUAGUGGGGGAUAACGUCCGGACACGGGCGCUAAUACCGCAUACGUCCUGAGGGAGAAAGUGGGGGAUCUUCGGACCUCACGCUAUCAGAUGAGCCUAGGCCGGAUUAGCUAGUUGGUGGGGUAAAGGCUUACCAAGGCGACGAUCCGUAACUGGUCUGAGAGGAUGAUCAGUCACACUGGAACUGAGACACGGUCCAGACUCCUACGGGAGGCAGCAGUGGGGAAUAUUGGACAAUGGGCGAAAGCCUGAUCCAGCCAUGCCGCGUGUGUGAAGAAGGUCUUCGGAUUGUAAAGCUCUGUAAGUUGGGAGGAACGGCAGUAAGUUAAUACAUUGCUGUUUUGACGUUACCAACAGAAUAAGCACCGGCUAACUUCGUG